Ziziphus jujuba (common jujube) is the source of this 1709-nucleotide RNA transcript. It is a transcript of the gene named probable 3-hydroxyisobutyrate dehydrogenase, mitochondrial, with no coding region annotated. NCBI's taxonomy places the organism in Eukaryota, Viridiplantae, Streptophyta, Magnoliopsida, Rosales, Rhamnaceae. The record is from RefSeq and is a predicted model, not a curated record. The transcript is spliced from 11 exons.
CGUGGAUAUUCAAUCAGAUAUGUAUAAAGACAAAGUUCCUUCGUUCUUUCUUCCCUGUUACUUUGUUUGCAUGCAUAGUACCGAGUAAGAGAGCGAGACACAGAGGGAGAGACAGAGAGAAACACAGAGAUAGAGAAAGGAGGAUAACCAUGGCGAUUUCUAGAUUGAGAUCAAUGAUUUCUCUUUCCAAGUGUAAAUCUACAGCUAUGUCUUUACCUUUUCAGUUUUCGAUUUUUCGAAGAGCUUCAACACAAGUUUCAUCCCAGUUCGAGAGUAUUGGGUUUAUAGGACUGGGAAAUAUGGGUUCGAGAAUGGCGAACAAUCUGGUCAAAGCUGGAUACAAAGUAGCCGUACAUGACAUAAAUGAAAAUUCCAUGAAAAAGUUCUCUGACAUGGGAGUUGAUACAAAGAAAACACCUUUUGAAGUUGCUGAAGAUAGUGAUGUUGUAAUUACAAUGCUACCUUCUUCAUCUCAUGUAGAUAAUGUUUAUACUGGACCUAAUGGUUUGAUUCAUGGUGGGAAUCUUUUGAGACCGAGGCUAUUAAUAGAUUCAUCUACCAUUGAUCCACAAACAUCAAGGAAGCUUUCUGAAACUGUCUCUAACUGCAUAUUAAAGGGAAAAAAAGAUAAUUGGGAGACCCCGAAAAUGUUGGAUGCUCCAGUAUCUGGAGGUGUGCUUGCUGCAGAAGCUGGGACACUCACUUUCAUGGUUGGUGGCUCUGAGGAAGCUUAUUUGGCUGCAAAACCACUAUUCCUUUCUAUGGGCAAGAGCACAGUAUAUUGUGGUGGAGCAGGAAAUGGUUCGGCAGCAAAGAUCUGCAAUAAUUUGGCAAUGGCUAUUAGUAUGCUUGGGGUAUCUGAGGCCCUUGCUCUUGGUCAGUCUCUAGGAAUUGCUGCGAGCACUCUGACAAAAGUUUUCAACUGUUCAAGUGCUCGCUGUUGGAGUAGUGAUACCUAUAAUCCAGUUCCUGGAGUAAUGGAGGGGGUGCCCUCUACAAGGAAUUAUGAUGGUGGGUUUGCAUCAAAGCUUAUGGCUAAAGAUCUGAACCUUGCUGCAAGCGCAGCCAAAGCUGUUGGUCUUAAAUGUCCUGUGACAUUCCAAACACAAAAGAUUUAAUCUAGGAGAAAUGGAUCGUGUAUGGCGUAAAGUAACUCCAUAUGCAUUGAGUUGUGCAGGAGUUAUUGUGUUGAGCACAUUAUACACAGAGCUUUGCCAGGACGGUCAUGAGAACAAGGACUUUUCCUGUGUUUUCCGUCAUUAUUACAGUGGGAAAAAUGAGAGUUAGUCUGAAGUGCAGCAGAUACUGCUGGCAGAAAAUUUCUUAGUGGGAAACUUCCAUUUAACAGCCUUCACUUGCAGGGUAAUAAGGAUACCAAAUUUUGAAAUCUUGUAUAGGAGUCCUUGUCACUAUUUAUGAUAAGACUCCAAAAUUAAGUACCUAAUGCCUGGAUGAAUAAAGUAGUACUUUUUGGAUUAAUAAAUGAGAAGGGACAACUUUGAUGUCCUUAUCAUAGUUUGGUUUUUUUCCUUCUUCUCUUGCUGUUGUGUCAGAAUCUACUGAGCAGACUUUCAGUGCCUUGUACCUGUAACUGUCAGCUAACUUCAAAAGUUAUGCAUAUGGCUCCAUUCAUUCUUAGAAAACUUGCUGGUUCACUCUGCAUGUACAUAUAUUUAUAUACACAUUUAAUACAUUAAUUCUUUCUGUGA